RNAcentral lists this ribosomal RNA (1372 nucleotides) under uncultured bacterium. RNAcentral describes it as "bacterial SSU rRNA". It matches the Rfam family "Bacterial small subunit ribosomal RNA", at positions 28 to 1381 of the family's 1533-position model. The record is from RNAcentral.
GAUGAACGCUGGCGGCGUGCCUAAUACAUGCAAGUCGAGCGAACAGACGAGGAGCUUGCUCCUUUGACGUUAGCGGCGGACGGGUGAGUAACACGUGGGUAACCUACCUAUAAGACUGGGAUAACUUCGGGAAACCGGAGCUAAUACCGGAUAAUAUUUCGAACCGCAUGGUUCGAUAGUGAAAGAUGGCUUUGCUAUCACUUAUAGAUGGACCUGCGCCGUAUUAGCUAGUUGGUAAGGUAACGGCUUACCAAGGCAACGAUACGUAGCCGACCUGAGAGGGUGAUCGGCCACACUGGAACUGAGACACGGUCCAGACUCCUACGGGAGGCAGCAGUAGGGAAUCUUCCGCAAUGGGCGAAAGCCUGACGGAGCAACGCCGCGUGAGUGAUGAGGGUCUUCGGAUCGUAAAACUCUGUUAUUAGGGAAGAACAAACGUGUAAGUAACUGUGCACGUCUUGACGGUACCUAAUCAGAAAGCCACGGCUAACUACGUGCCAGCAGCCGCGGUAAUACGUAGGUGGCAAGCGUUAUCCGGAAUUAUUGGGCGUAAAGCGCGCGUAGGCGGUUUUUUAAGUCUGAUGUGAAAGCCCACGGCUCAACCGUGGAGGGUCAUUGGAAACUGGAAAACUUGAGUGCAGAAGAGGAAAGUGGGAUUCCAUGUGUAGCGGUGAAAUGCGCAGAGAUAUGGAGGAACACCAGUGGCGAAGGCGACUUUCUGGUCUGUAACUGACGCUGAUGUGCGAAAGCGUGGGGAUCAAACAGGAUUAGAUACCCUGGUAGUCCACGCCGUAAACGAUGAGUGCUAAGUGUUAGGGGGUUUCCGCCCCUUAGUGCUGCAGCUAACGCAUUAAGCACUCCGCCUGGGGAGUACGACCGCAAGGUUGAAACUCAAAGGAAUUGACGGGGACCCGCACAAGCGGUGGAGCAUGUGGUUUAAUUCGAAGCAACGCGAAGAACCUUACCAAAUCUUGACAUCCUUUGCUCCUUCUAGAGAUAGAAGUUUCCCCUUCGGGGGACAAAGUGACAGGUGGUGCAUGGUUGUCGUCAGCUCGUGUCGUGAGAUGUUGGGUUAAGUCCCGCAACGAGCGCAACCCUUAAGCUUAGUUGCCAUCAUUAAGUUGGGCACUCUAAGUUGACUGCCGGUGACAAACCGGAGGAAGGUGGGGAUGACGUCAAAUCAUCAUGCCCCUUAUGAUUUGGGCUACACACGUGCUACAAUGGACAAUACAAAGGGCAGCGAAACCGCGAGGUCAAGCAAAUCCCAUAAAGUUGUUCUCAGUUCGGAUUGUAGUCUGCAACUCGACUACAUGAAGCUGGAAUCGCUAGUAAUCGUAGAUCAGCAUGCUACGGUGAAUACGUUCCCGGGUCU